CCUACGGGUGGCAGCAGUGGGGAAUAUUGCACAAUGGGGGAAACCCUGAUGCAGCGACGCCGCGUGAGUGAAGAAGUAUUUCGGUACGUAAAGCUCUAUCAGCAGGGAAGAAAGUGACGGUACCUUAGGAAUAAGCCUCGGCUAACUACGUGCCAGCAGCCGCGGUAAUACGUAGGAGGCGAGCGUUACCCGGAAUGACUGGGCGUAAAGGGUGCGUAGGUGGUUUGACAAGUUGGUAGCGUAACUCCGAGGCUCAACCUCGGCACUACUACCAAAACUGUCGGACUUGAGUGCAGGAGGGGCAAUUGGAAUUCCUAGUGUAGCGGUGGAAUGCGCAGAUAUUAGGAGGAACACCGGUGGCGAAGGCGAAUUGCUGGACUGUAACUGACACUGAGGCACGAAAGCGUGGGGAGCAAACAGGAUUAGAUACCCCAGUAGUC
RNAcentral lists this ribosomal RNA (440 nucleotides) under uncultured bacterium. RNAcentral's name for it is "partial 16S ribosomal RNA". It matches the Rfam family "Bacterial small subunit ribosomal RNA", at positions 338 to 795 of the family's 1533-position model. The record is from RNAcentral.